CCUACGGGGGGCAGCAGUGGGGAAUAUUGGACAAUGGGCGAAAGCCUGAUCCAGCCAUGCCGCGUGUGUGAAGAAGGCCUUCGGGUUGUAAAGCACUUUCAGUGGGGAAGAAAGCCUUGGGGCUAAUACCCUCGAGGAAGGACAUCACCCACAGAAGAAGCACCGGCUAACUCCGUGCCAGCAGCCGCGGUAAUACGGAGGGUGCGAGCGUUAAUCGGAAUUACUGGGCGGAAAGCGCGCGUAGGCGGUCUGAUAAGCCGGUUGUGAAAGCCCCGGGCUCAACCUGGGAACGGCAUCCGGAACUGUCAGGCUAGAGUGCAGGAGAGGAAGGUAGAAUUCCCGGUGUAGCGGUGAAAUGCGUAGAGAUCGGGAGGAAUACCAGUGGCGAAGGCGGCCUUCUGGACUGACACUGACGCUGAGGUGCGAAAGCGUGGGUAGCAAACAGGAUUAGAUACCCGUGUAGUC
This 465-nucleotide ribosomal RNA is filed under the name Vreelandella stevensii. Its description in RNAcentral is "partial 16S ribosomal RNA". It matches the Rfam family "Bacterial small subunit ribosomal RNA", at positions 338 to 795 of the family's 1533-position model. The record is from RNAcentral. Lineage: Bacteria; Pseudomonadati; Pseudomonadota; Gammaproteobacteria; Oceanospirillales; Halomonadaceae.